CUGAGGGAGCGGGGCGAUGGUGUCUUCAGCCGCCCGGCAGCGCCUGAGGCGGACGCUCAGCUGCCCCCGGCGCCUUGAGGGCACGACGGCAAAAGGCGACGCUCGCUUCGUGGCGGAGCCCGGCCACGGACAGGUAUUCAAGAUGAUUCAGUAGUCUCAACGAGGAUCAGCUCAGAUCCCAACAGUUAAGCGUGAUAUCGGGGGACACUGUCUUCGUACCUGGAACGCCGGAAGAACCCGCACUGCGCAGACAAGGAAAAGAACAGUUUAGGUUACAAAGCUGUUCAUUCAUCUAAUAAGGACGCUUACUGCUACACAUGGGAAAGCUGCUUCUCCUGAAUCAAAGCUUCAGCAAAGUGUGUUCCUAGAGAAGUACACCUUACAACUCAAGUAAAACAGAUGUUUCCACAGCAGUAAUUCUCAUAAUGAAAAUCCUUCUUGGAUGUAAGCAACAUGUACCUUUGAGCAUGCACUAAAGUUUCAGACCAGAAAAUAAAAAAUAACCAGAUGAAUAAACACCCACCUUCCAUAGUACGAAUACCAACAGUGCAAGCAUGAGUAUU
This is a long non-coding RNA of Pseudopodoces humilis (Tibetan ground-tit), 563 nucleotides long. RefSeq lists it as uncharacterized. The record is from RefSeq and is a predicted model, not a curated record. Lineage: Eukaryota; Metazoa; Chordata; Aves; Passeriformes; Paridae.